GAUGAACGCUAGCGACAGGCUUAACACAUGCAAGUCGAGGGGCAGCGCGGAGGUAGCAAUACCUUUGGCGGCGACCGGCGCACUGGUGAGUAACACGUAUGCGACCUGCCCCGGACAGGGGGAUAAACCCGGGAAACUGGGCCUAAUACCCCAUACGCCUUAAGGAUGCAUGUCCUUUUGGUGAAAGAUCCGUCGGUCCGGGAUGGGCAUGCGGCGCAUUAGCUAGUUGGCGGGGCAACGGCCCACCAAGGCGACGAUGCGUAGGGGUUCUGAGAGGAAGGUCCCCACACUGGUACUGAGACACGGACCAGACUCCUACGGGAGGCAGCAGUGAGGAAUAUUGGUCAAUGGACGAUAGUCUGAACCAGCCAAGUCGCGUGCGGGAUGAAGGCCCUCCGGGUCGUAAACCGCUUUAGCCGGGGAGUAACGUGCGGGACGCGUCCCGCAGUGAGAGUACCCGGAGAAUAAGCAUCGGCUAACUCCGUGCCAGCCGCCGCUGUAACAC
This 505-nucleotide ribosomal RNA is filed under the name uncultured bacterium. RNAcentral's name for it is "bacterial SSU rRNA". It matches the Rfam family "Bacterial small subunit ribosomal RNA", at positions 28 to 526 of the family's 1533-position model. The record is from RNAcentral.